This 496-nucleotide ribosomal RNA is filed under the name uncultured bacterium. RNAcentral describes it as "partial 16S ribosomal RNA". It matches the Rfam family "Bacterial small subunit ribosomal RNA", at positions 28 to 507 of the family's 1533-position model. The record is from RNAcentral.
GAUGAACGCUGGCGGCGUGCCUAAUACAUGCAAGUCGAGCGAACAGACGAGGAGCUUGCUCCUCUGACGUUAGCGGCGGACGGGUGAGUAACACGUGGAUACCUACCUAUAAGACUGGGAUAACUUCGGGAAACCGGAGCUAAUACCGGAUAAUAUAUUGAACCGCAUGGUUCAAUAGUGAAAGACGGUUUUGCUGUCACUUAUAGAUGGAUCCGCGCCGCAUUAGCUAGUUGGUAAGGUAACGGCUUACCAAGGCGACGAUGCGUAGCCGACCUGAGAGGGUGAUCGGCCACACUGGAACUGAGACACGGUCCAGACUCCUACGGGAGGCAGCAGUAGGGAAUCUUCCGCAAUGGGCGAAAGCUUGACGGAGCAACGCCGCGUGAGUGAUGAAGGUCUUCGGAUCGUAAAACUCUGUUAUUAGGGAAGAACAAAUGUGUAAGUAACUAUGCACGUCUUGACGGUACCUAAUCAGAAAGCCACGGCUAACUACGUG